ACAACCAAAACAUUUUCCUUUGGUUUUAGUCUGGGUAGCUCAAAGGUGUGCUAUCUCCUUUUUUGAUUUGAGAAUUUAUGUCAGGAGGUCCUUUGGCUUGCUUAUGAGCAUAUGGUUGGGGUUUCUACCCUCCAGUGAGAUGGGAACUCUCUUUUUCCUUGUCAUACUCUACCUAAUUGGGCAUGAACAGUGGGAAGGAAACAUGUCUCUGUCCAUCUGGUAAGAAUUACCUGCCUUUUUUCCACCUCAGCCUCGCAAGGCAAAUGAGAAAGGGAGAGGAGUGGAGAAGUCAGGGAGACCUGGGGUGAAUUGACAUGGAACCAUUUGGGAUGCUUUCCCUACCUGCAAGCAAGUUGUGUGAUUUCAGCUCAUAGCUUUGUGGUACGAAGAAAGUGGAAUGCUUAAUGUUUGGAGAGGUGUCUAUCACCUGGAUUAAAUUAUCCUCGACACACUCCAAGAGUCUCCUGGACUGCUUACAGCUUGCUGUGCUGCUUUUCCAGCAGAUGUCAGGGUGAUUGAAGUCCCCCAGCAGGAUCAGAGGCUGCGAGCGUGAUGCCUCCUGUAGUUGAAGGCCGAGCCGGGAGGAGUGAGCGAGUGGAUUCGUGGUGCUUUGUUACUGGCUGGGCUUAAACCAUGACACUGGCCAGGGGAGCUGCUGGGACAUGGUGGUGAUCUGAAAGUACAGAAGGAGAUGAGUUCUUAUGAGCAGCCUCAUCUGUCACUGCAGCUCUGGAGGACUUUCUGAAACCCGAGCAGCUGGACGGUGAAAACUGUUUUAAAUGUAGCAAGUUGUGGAAUAUCCUAAGUACUUGGAUCUUUGGUCAUGCACAUCACAGACAGCUGGAGAACUGCUCCUCUACACCUUAUAUGCUGUCCCGGUACACAGUGGUGGCAGCUGUCAUGGGGAACACUAUUACUGCUAUACAAAGGGAAGCAAUGGACUGUGGUACGAGACAAAUGAUAUGUCUGUUGUUCUUCAUGACAUCAACAGCAAGCAACAACACUCCAUGACAUCAGGCAGCAAGCUUAUCUAUUGUUUAAUGUCAGGCCUCCAUCAUCAAGGGCUUUCUAGACGCUACUGGAUGAAGCCCCAAGCAUUGUGGUCAAACCUCCUAGCCACUGCUGCUUGGAGCUGGAGGCCUGAGGCCCUCCUGGUGUCCUUUUACCUGGAAUGAACCAAUGACCUCGUCACUCCUGGAUUUGUAAACAUAAACUGAUUUCUAAACAUAACUCCUGCCUGUAAUUUUUCCAGUGGAUUCCUUACCAAUAAAUUAAUUGGUCUUCCUUCCAUUAUCACAAACUGAUGGUAUAAUAAAAGAAGACCUACUUCUACUAAUAAAGGGAUUGUUAUCCCCGUUGUCAAUUCCUAGCAUCUAAAC
This is a long non-coding RNA of Harpia harpyja (harpy eagle), 1379 nucleotides long. RefSeq lists it as uncharacterized. The record is from RefSeq and is a predicted model, not a curated record. NCBI's taxonomy places the organism in Eukaryota, Metazoa, Chordata, Aves, Accipitriformes, Accipitridae. The transcript has 7 exons.